RNAcentral lists this unclassified non-coding RNA (203 nucleotides) under Basidiomycota sp. RNAcentral's name for it is "partial contains small subunit ribosomal RNA, internal transcribed spacer 1, and 5.8S ribosomal RNA". The stretch from base 1 to 47 matches the Rfam family "Eukaryotic small subunit ribosomal RNA", at positions 1785 to 1831 of the family's 1831-position model. Lineage: Eukaryota; Fungi; Basidiomycota. The record is from RNAcentral.
AAAGUCGUAACAAGGUUUCCGUAGGUGAACCUGCGGAAGGAUCAUCAGCAUAUUCUCCUACUAUAUACCGUGUGCACUGUAUUUUUGUAUUGGGGUGACCCGUCUCUCGGGACGGCGCCCCGAGAAACAUCAUGCUAAUAUCUCUCGUCUGACAAAUUACACUUAAUAAUACACAACUUUCAACAGUGGAUCUCUUGGCUCUC